This is a non-coding RNA of Pangasius djambal, 73 nucleotides long. The record is from the annotation of a GenBank genome assembly. NCBI's taxonomy places the organism in Eukaryota, Metazoa, Chordata, Actinopteri, Siluriformes, Pangasiidae.
GGCAGUCGUGGCCUAAUGGUUAGAGUGUAGGACUGUGAACCUGAAGGUCGUGGGUUUGAGUCUCAGGCUGGCA